RNAcentral lists this small RNA (917 nucleotides) under Arabidopsis thaliana (thale cress). Its description in RNAcentral is "ATSL000550". The record is from RNAcentral. Lineage: Eukaryota; Viridiplantae; Streptophyta; Magnoliopsida; Brassicales; Brassicaceae.
CGAGUUUACAUAAAGAGUUAGUAUAUGAUAAACUGUUGGAAAAAAAAAGUAGUAGGGUACAUGUUACGAGAAAACUAAAAAAAAAAAUUAUUACAUUGUACUGACAUAUAUGUUAAGAAAAAAACUAUAUGUAGCAUAAACGAAGGCAAACGAAAAUACAGCUCGAAAAAACUAAAAAAUUCCGAUUUUGGUGUUAAAAGAGCCACCAGAACCGAUAACACAAUCAGCGGCGACUAAGUUUCUUUAAGAGAGAAGCAUGAGGGUUUUUGAAGAGAGAAAGGGUUUGGUUUUUGUACAGUAUUUGUUCGUUUAUUCGCAGAAAAAAAAACAAAACAUAGCAGUCAUGGAUUCUCUUUCAACGCCUCCGUCGACUAUGCAAAAUUCCACCAGAGGCUCUCAAUCCUUAUCGUCCCUGCUAACGUCAAAUCUCCCUCCACCGUCGUUUCAGCCACCAACGACAAAUCUCAGUCUGAAUUCUCUUUCAACGCCUUCGUCGACUAUGCAAAAUCUCUCACUAUACCUCGGGAUUCUCUAGCUCUUGCACACUUACACCAUCCAUGCUAACGUCAAAUCUCCCUCUGCUGUCUAAUCUCUCUCCACUGUCGUCUCACUCACCAACGACGAAUCUCAGUCUGAAUUCCCUUUCAACGAUGUCGACUAUGCAAACUUUCACCGGAGACUCUCAGUCCGUACCGUCUCUGCUAACGUUAAAUUUUCCUCUGCUGUCUAAUUUAGGGCUUUUAUUGUGCUCUAUCCAAUAGUGCCAAUUCUAGCUAUGGUUGGGUUCUCCGUGUGCGAGUGUAUUGUUUGUCUACUCUUCUGGUUUCAUUUAGGACAAAAUGAUGUUGCAGAGCCUGAAGAAGACAUGUGAUUUGGUCUACUUCCGAAGAUUUUGAUGAUUAUAAUUACUCCUUUUU